This 358-nucleotide ribosomal RNA is filed under the name uncultured eukaryote. RNAcentral describes it as "LSU rRNA". It matches the Rfam family "Bacterial large subunit ribosomal RNA", at positions 2129 to 2486 of the family's 2925-position model. The record is from RNAcentral.
UUUAUUUGCGCAGCAUAGGUGGGAGGCAUUGAGUUUAUUCUUGCGGGAAUUUAGGAGCCAUCAGUGAGAUACCACUCUGGUAAUGUUAGAUUUCUAACUUUGUAUCAUGAUCUGGUCAAAGAACAGUUUCAGGCGGGCAGUUUGACCGGGGCGGUCGCCUCCCAAAUGGUAACGGAGGCGUACAAAGGUUUCCUCUGAACGUGUAGAAAUCGUAUCUAGAGUGUAAAGGCAUAAGGAAGCUUGACUGUGAGACCUACAAGUCGAGCAGGGACGAAAGUCGGUCUUAGUGAUCUGACGGUGCUGAGUGGAAAGGCCGUCACUCAACGGAUAAAAGUUACUCUAGGGAUAACAGGCUGAA